AUGGCUGCACAGGGAGAGCCCCAGGUCCAGUUCAAACUUGUAUUGGUUGGUGAUGGUGGUAUUGGAAAAACGACCUUCGUGUAACGUCAUUUGACUGGUGAAUUUGAGAAGAAGUAUGUAGCCACCUUGGGUGUUGAGGUUCAUCCCCUAGUGUGCCACACCAACAGAGGACCUAUUAAGUUCAAUGUAUGGGACACAGCCGGCCAGGAGAAAUUCGGUGGACUGAGAGAUGGCUAUUAUAUCCAAGCCCAGUGUGCCAUCAUAGUGUUUGAUGUAACAUCGAGAGUUACUUACAGGAAUGUGCCUAACUGGCAUAGAGAUCUGGUACGAGUGUGUGAAAACAUCCCCAUUGUGUUGUGUGGCAACAAAGUGGAUAUUAAAGACAGGAAAGUGAAGGCGAAAUCCAUUGUCUUCCACCGAAAGAAGAAUCUUCAGUACUACGACAUUUCUGCCAAAAGUAACUACAACUUUGAAAAGCCUUUCCUCUGGCUUGCUAGGAAGCUCACUGGAGACCCUAACUUGGAAUUUGUUGCCAUGCCUGCUCUCGCCCCACCGGAAGUUGUCAUGGACCCAGCUUUGGCAGCACAGUAUGAGCACGACUUAGAGGUUGCUCAGACAACUGCUCUCCCGGACGAGGAUGAUGACCUGUGAGAGUGAAGAUGGAGCCCAGCGUCAGAAAUCUAGUUUU
Molecule: RNA transcript, 688 nt
Organism: Nomascus leucogenys (northern white-cheeked gibbon)
Lineage: Eukaryota; Metazoa; Chordata; Mammalia; Primates; Hylobatidae
Gene name: GTP-binding nuclear protein Ran-like
Exons: 1
Source: RefSeq, a predicted model, not a curated record